GUUCCUCUCGGAGCGGAGACGGCAAAUGGCGGACUUCGAUACCUACGACGAUCGGGCCUACAGCAGCUUCGGCGGCGGCAGAGGGUCCCGCGGCAGUGCUGGUGGCCAUGGUUCCCGUAGCCAGAAGGAGUUGCCCACAGAGCCCCCCUACACAGCAUAUGUAGGAAAUCUACCUUUUAAUACGGUUCAGGGCGACAUAGAUGCUAUCUUUAAGGAUCUCAGCAUAAGGAGUGUACGGCUAGUCAGAGACAAAGACACAGAUAAAUUUAAAGGAUUCUGCUAUGUAGAAUUCGAUGAAGUGGAUUCCCUUAAGGAAGCCUUGACAUACGAUGGUGCAGUAAGUAUCCUCAGGUUUUCUCUGUCAUAGCAGUUGAGAUUGUUUUCUUUGCCAAUACUUACACUAUUUUCCCUUUAUCAUUAGCUGUUGGGCGAUCGGUCACUUCGUGUGGACAUUGCAGAAGGCAGAAAACAAGAUAAAGGUGGCUUUGGAUUCAGAAAAGGUGGACCAGAUGACAGAGGUGAUUGGUUCUUCUAAAGCUGAACGUCAUAAAGAUUUGCAGUAUGCCUACCAAU
This 573-nucleotide small RNA is filed under the name Pongo abelii (Sumatran orangutan). Its description in RNAcentral is "retained intron". Lineage: Eukaryota; Metazoa; Chordata; Mammalia; Primates; Hominidae. The record is from RNAcentral.